Molecule: ribosomal RNA, 253 nt
Filed under: uncultured bacterium
Lineage: Bacteria
Description: partial 16S ribosomal RNA
Rfam family: Bacterial small subunit ribosomal RNA
Source: RNAcentral
UACGUAGGGUGCAAGCGUUAAUCGGAAUUACUGGGCGUAAAGCGUGCGCAGGCGGCUUUGCAAGACAGAUGUGAAAUCCCCGGGCUUAACCUGGGAACUGCAUUUGUGACUGCAAGGCUAGAGUACGGUAGAGGGGGAUGGAAUUCCGCGUGUAGCAGUGAAAUGCGUAGAUAUGCGGAGGAACACCGAUGGCGAAGGCAAUCCCCUGGGCCUGCACUGACGCUCAUGCACGAAAGCGUGGGGAGCAAACAGG